UCGCUCCUACCGAUUGAAUGAUCCGGUGAAAUCUUCGGACUGUUGCUGCAGUGAGUGCAAGCUCACCACAGCUUUGGGAAGUUGAUUAAACCUUAUCAUUUAGAGGAAGGAG
Molecule: ribosomal RNA, 112 nt
Filed under: uncultured eukaryote
Lineage: Eukaryota
Description: partial small subunit ribosomal RNA
Rfam family: Eukaryotic small subunit ribosomal RNA
Source: RNAcentral